GGGGUUAUUUCGUAAUUUAACCUCAGUAACCACUCUUUUGGCUACUUGUAUCUCUCUCUUUUUCAUGUUGUUGUUCACCAGUCACCGCCAUGCCUCCUCUCAUCAUUUCCAGUCCACUCCCCCUUUGAUUUCUCCUCGCUCCCUAUUCUCGGCCGCCACCAUCGUCGACGGUGGGUCUUCAACUCCCCCUCUUCAAUCUCUCUGUCAACUCCAUAUGUCCUUCUCUCCUGACCUCACCCUCGGCCACCGCAGUCGCGAUGGUCCGACUCGAUGCCGCCUUCUCAUACCUAAUUUUAUACUAUCAUUCUAUUCCCCAGUGUUUAAGCAACUUAUUAAUGCUUUCAAUUUGAUUGUUACUCCACCAGGCACAAAAAUCCUAAAUAGGCGUGAACCCUAAUUACAAAUUUAGAAACCCCAAAUAUGUGUAUGUAUAUCUGUGUGGCUGUGGAUUAAUGUAUAAGGCUGACGGGUGUUGGCGGGGUGUCACAUCGGAGAGGGCAGCGAGCUCAGCGUUGUCUGUGGUUGUUUAGAUGGGGAAAUAAGAGAGAUUGGGGGAGGAGAUGGAUCAGUGGUGGUGGGUGGUGGGAGAUGACUUUUGUUGAACUGUUUUGUUUAUGUACUCAACUGAUGGAUAAGUAUUUUAGAAUUUGUGUCCUGUUGCAGUUCCCAAUCUACAAAUUGAGACGGUGAAACCAGCAGGCUCUGCGGUUUUGGAUUACAGUCAAGGUGAUUACAACACUUAGUAGCAAAAGGGAACAUGGUAAUGGCGGUCGUCUUAGAUUGCAACAAUUCUCAAAAGCGGAUGGUUUAAGUUUGAGUUCAGUUCAUCCGAUGAGAGCAUUAGAUGAUGAUACUGGUUAUGAUAGUAAUGCAAGUUCAUCUAGCUUUGAAUUUUAAGGGGAAAGAGCAGUGAACAAUCCUAUUGAGAGGUCACACUUGAUGCCAAAAUUUUCUAAAUGGAAGAUGUAGAGAAGUGGAUAAUGAAUAAGCAAGCUAAUCAUUCAAAAAGUAGCAAUGUACAAAGGUAAGCGAUGAGAAUGCAAGUUAAAAAUUGUGUUAAAUUUGCUUCAGAGUCUACCAUUUUGACCGACCAUGGUGUUAAACCCAGCUAGAAAUAGGUGCUUCAACUGACUGUAGCUAGUGGAACUAGGAAUUGACGAAAAAACCCUUAAAAAAGAUAACGGUGUUAGUCUAAAUUGACGGAGAGACACAUUCUGUAAAAAAUUCGAAACUUGAGUAUUGCAAGUAAUACUUAUUAAAAAGUGAUAUUGCAAGUGGUGUCUUGCUUAAAGUGCAGGUACACAGAAUGCACUUUACUCUUAUUAAUUUAUAAUUUUCUUGGGACCGAAAAUUAUAAAGGGAUCUCCCAAAAAAUUAUUAUCUUAUUAUUUUAUCGAGUUUUUUAAUUUUUUACACUGGCCCAAGUCGGGACUGGAAAAAUUUAUUAUUUUAGAGAGUUUAUUAAUUUACCGAGUAUUAAUUUAAAGAGUUUCUACUGUAUGUAAUAGAUGCACCAAAAAUUGUGUAGUCUUUGAACGUGUUGGGAUCAUGAGGGUAUAGAGUUGUCAGUUGAGGACGAAGUUACAAGAUGUAUAAAGGAAAAAGCUGUAAGAGAUGAUGAACAAGAAGGACAUAUAUUGUUUACAUGUUAGAGAAAUGAAGAUGAAGACCAAGAAAAAGGUAAAAGUUAAGGAUUUAUUUAAGUUCUAAGGAAUUCGGGGUACGUCUCAAAAUCCUCAAUAGGUUAGGAUUCAUAAUCUGAGACGGUAUCUUAUUUAUGAUGACUGAGGUAACCUAUUUUGAUAGAACUAUUUAAAUGUGGAAGGUUUUUAUAUAGGAAAUCGGAAAAGAUGAUAAAUAUCAAUUAUCUGAUGCUACGAGUUAUAUUUAUUAUAUAAUGAUAAAGAUUGAAAUCAUUUCUUGUUAUAUUACCAUGUUGUAUACGUCUAAAAAAUAUAAACACAAUAAUUGUUGAAACCAUUUGUUUUUGUAUUACCAUGAUGUACAUGGCUAAAAAAAUUGCAACAUGUGCUAGGUUUAAUUAAUUAGAAAAUAAUAUGAUUAAUGGCUAAAAAAUUGCAACAAGCAAACAUUCUAGAUUUAAUUAAUUAGAAAAGAGCUCUUUCCAGAAUACAAUUUUCUUUACUAAAUAAAAUUAGUGGCUUUCGACCCAAUAUGUGUUGAAUUUGUAGUUUGGUUAUUGACGCUUGGUUUGAUCAUCUCUCAUAAUUGCUGUCGCAUUUUUAAGAUAAAAUGAUAACAGCGGUUAGAUUUUGUUAAAUAAUAUUUCAUAUCUAAUAUUACCAUACCUAUUAAUGUUUUCAAGUUUCAAUCCAAUGGAUAGCAUUAUUAAAAUCAAACAUUUACAUAUAAUUUUAAAAAAUAAAAACAAUUCUAUAUCAUCUAGAUAUUAUAAAUCCCAUAGUAUUUUACUUAAUUAAUUUGCAUAACUAAUGGACAAAAUGUUGGGUAAGGUACGCAAUACAAAUGACUGAGACUAAUGAUUUGAGGACUAAAGAUCGAGGACUAGUCUUUGAGGCACUCUCCCAAGUUAACUGUUAUAACCAUCCUCCCGUUUACUCCUGUUCUUGCUGCUGCUUUCCCAGCUUCCAUCACUGCCAACACUUUUCAUCGCUACCUUUUUGAUGGACUGACCAAGAGACUGAGAGAGGGAGCAGCUGGGAAGGGAAUUAAUCAGGAGUUCAUGACUAAAGCCUACCAAUAAAAGUUAUGCAAAAAGUUUUUGUAAGAGUUCGGAUGACUUAGUUUCUACUAGUAUGAUGGACAUAUUGGGGAUAGAGUUGAUGGAUGUACAGGGUUUCCUUGCUACUUUGGCUUUGAUGUGAGGAACGAGGGUUGGGGAACUCUUUUGGAGUUUACAAUUGCUCAUGAAUUAUGGAUUGUUAACUCUAGUUUCAAAAAGAGAGACGAACAUUUGAUUGCUUUCCCAAGUGGAGCGGUGGGGAUAACACCAAAAUACAGAGAGUUCUCAUGAGACAUCAAAUAAAGGGAUUCAAGAUGUGAUGUUGAAAGAGUAGUUGUAGAAGUGAAGGAUAAGGUUUAUGAAUACAAGGGUUUGGAUAAUAAAGAGGGGGAAAUGAAAUUUAUAAAUUUGCAAAGACUUGAGAAAGAAGGUGGUGAGUUUCAGGUUUUAUAGAUUUAUAAUGGAUGAAGAUGGACUGGUCGUAGUUAGGGAUGAUGAUAUUCGAUAUAGAAAAUAUAACUGUAUUUUGUAAGUUAUUUAAUGAGGCGUGUAUUUAUAUUAGAGAUCCACUAUACAAUAAGAAGUUCAU
Molecule: long non-coding RNA, 3293 nt
Filed under: Daucus carota (carrot)
Lineage: Eukaryota; Viridiplantae; Streptophyta; Magnoliopsida; Apiales; Apiaceae
Description: long non-coding RNA (DCAR_LNC002275)
Source: RNAcentral